Molecule: ribosomal RNA, 369 nt
Filed under: uncultured bacterium
Lineage: Bacteria
Description: bacterial SSU rRNA
Rfam family: Bacterial small subunit ribosomal RNA
Source: RNAcentral
GCCCGAAGAAAUUCGGAUUAAUACCCCAUGUGAUCGUAAGAUUAAAGGCGGCGUAAGCUGUCGCUUCGGGAUGGGCUCGCGGCCUAUCAGCUUGUUGGUGAGGUAAUGGCUCACCAAGGCGAUGACGGGUAGCUGGUCUGAGAGGAUGAUUAGUCACACUGGAACUGAGACACGGUCCAGACACCUACGGGUGGCAGCAGUCGAGAAUCAUUCGCAAUGGGCGGAAGCCUGACGGUGCGACGCCGCGUGGAGGAUGAAGGCCCUAGGGUCGUAAACUCCUGUCAUCAGGGAGUAAGGGCUCAUAUAGUAACUGCUAUGGGUCUUGAUAGUACCUGAAGAGGAAGGGACGGCAAACUUCGUGCCAGCAGC